RNAcentral lists this long non-coding RNA (1398 nucleotides) under Olea europaea subsp. europaea. Lineage: Eukaryota; Viridiplantae; Streptophyta; Magnoliopsida; Lamiales; Oleaceae. The record is from RNAcentral.
CAAAGAUUCAAGUUAUUGAGAAGUUACCACCACCAACCUCGGUCAAGGGUGUUCGCAGUUUCCUUGGUCAUGCUGGAUUUUAUCGGCGCUUCAUCAAAGACUUCUCUAAGAUUACUAAACCAUUAUGCAAUUUACUAGUCAAGGAUGUCCCUUUCAACUUCUCCGAAGAAUGUCUAUUGUCUUUCAACACUUUAAAGGAGAAGUUAAUUUCAGCGCCAAUAAUUGUUACACCAGAUUGGAGUUUGCCCUUUGAACUAAUGUGUGAUACAAGUGACUAUGCAGUGGGAGUAGUAUUGGGACAGCGACGAGAUAAAUUUUUUCACGUGAUCUAUUAUGCAGGCAAGACAUUGAAUGAUGCACAGCUGAACUAUGCCACCACUGAGAAGGAACUUUUAGCUGUAGUCUACGCUUUUGAUAAAUUUCAUUCUUAUCUUGUUGGAUCAAAAGUAAUAGUUUAUACAGAUCAUGCAGCUUUAAAGUAUCUGAUGACAAAGAAAGAUGCAAAGCCAAGACUAAUCAGAUGGGUAUUACUUCUACAAGAAUUUGAUUUAGAGAUAAGAGAUAAGAACGGAAGUGAAAACUUAGUAGCUGAUCACCUAUCCCGACUUGAGCAUGGAGAACAGGAAAAGUCAGUGAACAUAAAUGAGAUCUUUCCAGAUGAACAGAUUUUCAAUAUAGAGGAUGUACCUUGGUAUGCUGAUAUAGUGAAUUAUCUGGCCAAAUCCAUUAUUCUACUAGACUAUUCAAGUCAUCAAAAGAAGAAAUUCUUUCUGACUUGAAGUAUUAUUUUUGGGAGGACCCUAUUCUUUACAGGCGGGGUCCAGAUCAAAUUAUUAGGUGGUGUAUUCCUAAAGAAGAGAUCCCUUAGAUACUCGAGCAAUGUCAUUCAUCUGCCUAUGCUGGACACUUUGGCGCAUCAAAGACUGCCGCUAAAAUUUUACAGUCUGGUUUUUACUGGCCAUCGAUAUUCCGAGAUACAUUUGAAUUUGUGAAGAGGUGUGAUAGAUGUCAGCGCACGGAAAAUAUCUCAGGAAAGAACGAGAUGCCUCUGAAUAUCAUUCUAGAGGUAGAGCUCUUUGAUGUGUGGAGGAUCGACUUUAUGGGGCCAUUUCCCUCAUCAUUCUCGAAUCAGUAUAUACUUGUCGCCGUCGAUUAUAUUUCUAAGUGGGUGGAAGCAGUAGCAUUGCCAACCAACGAUGCGAAGGUUGUAAUUGGGUUCCUAAAGAAGUAUAUUUUCACCCGUUAUGGUACACCUCGAGCUAUCAUAAGUGAUGGGGGCAAACACUUUUGCAAUCGUCGGUUUGAGUCUUUGCUGGCUAGAUAUGACGUCCGACAUCGUAUAGCUACCCCUUAUCACCCUCAGACCAGCGGUCAAGUUGAAAUCUCCAAUUGAGAAUU